RNAcentral lists this ribosomal RNA (815 nucleotides) under Nyctixalus pictus (painted Indonesian treefrog). Its description in RNAcentral is "partial 16S ribosomal RNA". It matches the Rfam family "Bacterial large subunit ribosomal RNA", at positions 1523 to 2575 of the family's 2925-position model. Lineage: Eukaryota; Metazoa; Chordata; Amphibia; Anura; Rhacophoridae. The record is from RNAcentral.
AAUUUCAGCACUCCCCAUGAACCCUUCCCCCACACUGAGUGAUUCCAUAAACAUAUGGAACACAUAAUGCUGAGACUAGUAACAAGAAUUUAAUAUUCUCCUAAAUGCAAAUUUAACCCAGACCGGAUAUACCACUGGUAAUCAACGAAAAUGAGAUAACUACAGCAACACAACAAGAAAACCCUGUAAGCACUACCGUUAACCUAACACAAGAGCAUUUCAGGAAAGAUUAAUAGGAAGAGAAGGAAUUCAGCAAAUCACGGCCCCGCCUGUUUACCAAAAACAUCGCCUCUUGACAUAUAUAGGAGGUCCAGCCUGCCCAGUGACAUAGUUUAACGGCCGCGGUAUCCUAACCGAGCGAAGGUAGCAUAAUCACUUGUUCUUUAAAUGGGGACUUGUAUCAAUGGCAUCACGAGGGCUCUACUGUCUCCUCUCCCUAAUCAGUGAAACUGAUCUCCCUGUGAAGAAGCAGGGAUAACUCUAUAAGACGAGAAGACCCCAUGGAGCUUUAAACCCAACGGCAACCCAUUCAUAAAUUCCCCCAGAACCAAAAGGGAGAUGCCCAUCGGUUUUAGGUUGGGGCGACUGCGGAGUAAAAAUAACCCUCCACGACGAAAAGAAUAAAAUCCUUAUUCAAGAGCUACCCCUCUAAAAAUUAGCACACUAACGUAAAAUGAUCCGAUUAUCGAUCAACGAACCAAGUUACCCUGGGGAUAACAGCGCAAUCUACUUCUAGAGCCCCUAUCGACAAGUAGGCUUACGACCUCGAUGUUGGAUCAGGGCAUCCCAGUGGUGCAGCCGCUACUAACGGUUCG